UAUUAUCUUAGUAUAGAAUGUAUAGUUAUUUUCCACAUAACAGGCUUAAUUAAAUUAAAGAUAAUAU
Molecule: transfer RNA, 67 nt
Filed under: Sypharochiton pelliserpentis
Lineage: Eukaryota; Metazoa; Mollusca; Polyplacophora; Chitonida; Chitonidae
Description: tRNA-Gly
Source: RNAcentral